GGUAAAUAGCACUGCAAAUCAUUUGGGGACAUGCAGUUCAGUGACAGCCCACGGAACAACGUGUAAAGAGAAUGAAGAGGCACACUUAUAUGACCUCACAAUGGAAGUUCUGUGCCGGUUUUGACCUUGGAUUCAUGUACCCACAGUUCAAGAGGCUGCACCGUUGCUUACUGGAGGAAAGGCUCACCUUACAGUGGAGAAAGUGAAGGUUCUUCCAUGACAGCCACAAUGUGUUCACCCAAGAAGUACUCAUAUGGCUCUGUGACGGGGUCCACUCACUGCAGGUAAUGCCUCCUUCUGUGUCACUUU
Caretta caretta (loggerhead turtle) is the source of this 309-nucleotide long non-coding RNA. RefSeq lists it as uncharacterized. The record is from RefSeq and is a predicted model, not a curated record. NCBI's taxonomy places the organism in Eukaryota, Metazoa, Chordata, Testudines, Cheloniidae.